UGGGAGCAGGAGAGCAGAGCUCCUCAAAACAAUUUGGCAAGAAAGCACCUAGGAAGCAGUUGUUAGAGAACAGGGAUUGGUAGGAGAUUCUAGCUAUCAAGUUCUAAGCUAAUAGGUAACUUAUAUCAUGUAUGAGUUUUCGAUGUGGUUUUGCAAGGAUUGAACGAACAAUAAACCUCAGUGUAUAGAAAAUGUUUCACAGGAUAAACCAGUUGAGGGGUUGGAAGGAGUGAAUUUGAUAAAUGUUAUGAAGAUAAUGGGAAACCUGGCAGGUUUUAUGAAAAGUAGUAUGCCUUGCCUAAGAGGACAUUGACAAAACUAGUCCUGAGAGACUUCAUAUCAUAUCAUACAUAUUAAAGACCUCUAGCAGUUUGAUAUUGUUAGAAAGAAUCCAAAUAAGCCAUCAUGGCCAAUUAUGCUGUGUGUGAUAAUUGUUUGGGCUAAAUUGAAUGAACUAUGAGAAUUGGUGACUGAGGAAUAAAAGAUUCUAUUGGCUUUAGAAAGAUAAUGCUUUGAUUGGAAAAACUGAAAAAAAAGCAUUGUAAAAUGUAAUUUAAAAGCAAGGAAACUGAGUACUAAGUUUGUAAGGUGGGGAGAGGAGAUGCCAUUGUUUUUGUUUAAGGCAUUUGAAUGCAAGUAUCUUUGAUAUAAUGUUGAAAGAAAAGCAUUUUUGAAUGAUAAGGGCUACAAAUAAUGGAAGAAUGCUUUUAGAUGACACAAGUUGGUUUGGUAAUCCUCUUUUCAUUUUACUUUAAAAGCUAGUAGUUGUUUUAUCUACAAGUGUGAUACUAUGUUCCUGUAGAAAGGAAAUGUGCAAACCUAUUCUAAUCUAUGCUUCUACAAGUGUUAUUCUACUUCCCGUGCAUUGCAUGGGUCCUUUUCUUGUAAUCUCGUAUGCUCAAGCAUGCUAUUCUAUAAACUUGCUUACCAUGUAAUGUAUGCUAAUAUGUUCUUUGUUAUCUUUUAUCUUCAUUAUAAAUCAAGAUUAGCCUAAGUUGCUAAUUGUUUUUUUAAACUUAAGCAAAUAGCAUGAGACUAUGAACAUCUCAGUAUAAGAUUUCUAUUAUGUGGUCCAAUCAAAUUUGUAAGGGAAGCCUUAAACGACGGAUUGAGGAAAGGCAAAAAAAAUAAUCAAGUUAAAACUUGCGUGUGGGAUGCAGUUUUUCUGGAAACAAAUGAAAAUGAUCCCUCCAUCAAAAUUGAUCAGCUAUAGCUUGUUGUUAUUUUAUUUGAACUAGACAAAAAAGAUGGUUGAAAACCGACCUAAUAAAAUUAGAUUAGGAUGGAUAAAAUGAAGGGAUGCCUCUUGGCUGCUGCAGUUCUUCUGGAAAUGAAUGAAAAUGAACUCUCCAUCAUAAUUGAUUAGCACUAGCUUGUUAUUGUUUUGUUUGAAGUAGAUGAAGAAUAUGGUUGAAAACAGAUCUAGUAAAAUCAUAUUAGGGUGGAUAAAAUGAAGGGAUGCUUCUUGGCUGAUGUUUGCAUACUGCUUGCUCUUGGGACUUGAAGGAAAAUGCAUGUCAAAUCUGAUAAGAUUUGAGAAGGGUGGAACAAAUGAAGGGGUGCCUCUUGGUUGAUGUUUGCACACCCAAGCUCUUAAAACUUGAAGAAAAAUGUAUGCCCAAAAAAAGUAUGGUAUUUGACCUUACAUGGUUUAGAAAGCUGGGCAAUAAUGAUGGCACAUGCAUGUAAAAUAAAGGCAGAAAUAAGAUUGCUGAGGUGGAUGUGGGUAGAACUUGAAAACCUAAGGUUAUAAAUGGACGAGGAGAAGAUGGAGACUAAGACUGCAUGCAGAAAAACACCAGGGUUUCAAUAAAGAAGGCGCCUCAAUUUGUUUUGGAGUGUUAGAGGGAGGAAAAUAACCUGGUUGGUGUAUAUGAAAAGUACUAGAAAAUUUGUGUUGAUAGGAGAGGGCAUCUUUAACAAGAGUGAUAGGAAAAAAGGGAUUUGCAAAGUUGACCCAGUGUUGCGAGGUAAGGGCUUCUUGGUGAUGGUUAUUUAAGUGGUUUGAAAGUUCAAACAGAUCUUUAAUCAAGUUAAAACAGCCGUUUAAACUCAAAUGGUACCAUUAGAAUUUUUGAUCUGUUGCCAUUCAGAUAUAGUAUACUAGUAUUUGUUGAAUGACCUUUUUAUGAUAAUCAUGGGUCAUGUAUGUAUGGAAAUAAUGAUUAACCAAAAUAAAUGACCAAGUGAUCUUAAAGCUGCCUAUUUGGAAAAAAAAUUCUCCUUGAACUGAAUUUCUAAGGAAAUUCACAUAUUUUUGGUUUUAAGUGUCAUGUUUCUAUGUUUAAAAGAUGAACGAUGGUUCAUUGGCCUCCCUUUCAUAUAUAAUUCUAAAUGAUGGAACUAACUUAGGUCCCUAAACUAGAAUAUAGUAAGGGUAAGGCCCUCUUGGGAACAUUUGUCAGAUGGUUUAGUCUGAUUUCUUAUUUAUCUUCCAUCAAGAUUAGGAAAGUAGAAUGCACAUGUUCAAGGAGGUGGCUAAUAUCAACGCCUUUGACAGAUUUUCCUCACUUUCUAAGUUUUCAUGUAAUAAUGCCUUUGAGACACUUCAAAUUAAAUUAUUGUUCUGCAUCUUUUACUGAUUGGCUCAAGAUGAUUGUUUAUAAUAAUGUUCUGACUUCACAGGUUCAAAGGUUAUGUUUUUGCUAAUUAUUAAAAUGUUAGGGCAAUGUUCCCACCAAAUGGCAACAGAUAACAAUGUUAUUCUCCAUAAACCCUUUUUUCCAUCAAUUUUGACAGGAGCCUCUUUUUCUUCUUCCCAGCACAAUUAUAAUUCACAAUCUUUCAUUUGUUUAGACACCUCAUGAGCUUAUUUGCACCACGGCAUUUUUCCUAUUACCAGAGUUAAUUUUAACCCAUGUUGCUGCUUUCUUUUAUUAUAGUUUCUUAAUAAUGCUUGGUUUAUGUACAACUAUUAGUUUCAAUUAUUUUUAUAUCAAGAAAGAUAUAAUAUGCGAGAAUUUUUUGCAUAAUUAAUAAAAGUUAACUUCAUCAUCUUAUGUAAUAGUGUUUAAGCUGGGAGUAUACACUUCUAUCUAUCCUUUUUUUUUAAAAAAAAAAAGACAUUACGAAAUUAGAUUUUUAAAGUGGAUAAACGUUCUCAAUAAGUUCAAACUUCCAGCUGUGACUGGAACUCCAUUUCUUUCAAUGAGUUGAUCAGGGCAUUUUUUCUCUUUAGAUACUUUAUGCAUUUCUUAUGCAUUAUAUGUUAAAUAUCAUGAUAAUAUUUACUUUUGAAACAUGAUGGGCUUGUGAUAUCUGUUAUGGUGCAAUGAUGGGCCUCCUCCACAUUGAUGCCUGAUGAUGCCUCUGCAAAGGUCGAAAACCGCCACUCAUGUAGAAGUAAAAAGCCGAAAGAGCUAUAAUUCAGAUUCUGCAGCCCCACAUGACAUUUUUGCUUAUUCUGAGGGACCCAACGAUGUUUUCUUAACUCAUUGGUGGGAUGCAACAAAGAAGAAAAGACCAACUCAUGUACUCUUCCUGGAGGUACCCUAACUUUAUCAGAAAAAUGCAUUUCAAGUUUCUGAUCUUUUAAGAAUUAACAUGAUGCUUUACCAUUUCUGAUGGUGAAUCUAGUUUAAUGACAUCUGCAGAUUGCCCCUCUUUGACUUUAUAUCGAUUGAU
Molecule: long non-coding RNA, 3624 nt
Filed under: Elaeis guineensis (African oil palm)
Lineage: Eukaryota; Viridiplantae; Streptophyta; Magnoliopsida; Arecales; Arecaceae
Description: long non-coding RNA (EGUI_LNC010741)
Source: RNAcentral